ACUCCGAAUACCGGUGACGCGUAUCCCGGCAGUGAGUCGGCGGGGGAUAAGCUUCGUCGUCGAAAGGGAAACAGCCCAGACCGUCGUCUAAGGUCCCGAAGCGUGUGCUAAGUGGGAAAGGAUGUGGAGUCGCAUAGACAGCCAGGAGGUUGGCUCAGAAGCAGCCAUCCUUUAAAGAGUGCGUAACAGCUCACUGGUCUAGUGGUUCCGCGCCGACAAUGUAGCGGGGCUCAAGCACACCACCGAAGACGCGGCAGUAUUUUGUACUGGGUAGGAGAGCGUCCCAUGAGGGGCGAAGCGGCCGUGUGAACGCGCCGUGGACUUCAUGGGAGUGAGAAUGCAGACAUGAGUAGCGAGAGACGGGUGAAGAUCCCGUCCGCUGGAUGACCAAGGGUUCCAGGGCCACGUUCAUCGUCCCUGGGUGAGUCGGGUCCUAAGGCGAGGCCGACAGGCGUAGUCGAAUGGAUGAACGGGUCGAUAUUCCCGUACCGGCUUUCAGCCGCCAAAACCGAGGCUUGGAGUACUAACCUCCGGGUCCGGGCUUACUGCUCCUUCGGGGGCGGGAUGCCCUGGCCUGUUGGGACCGAUCCUUGUAGUAGGUCAGCGCAGGAGUGACGCAGAAGGGUAGCCGGCCGCGGAGGUGGUCUUCCGUGGUCAAGCACGCAGGGCGUGGGACAGGCAAAUCCGUCCCGCAUGGGUCCGAGGUGCGAUGAUGGGGGCCUUAUGGCCCGAUAUCCGGUGAUCCCGGCUGCCGAGAAAAGCUUCGGCGUCAGGCUCAAAGCCGCCCGUACCCCAAACCGACACUGGUGGUCAGGUAGAGAAUACCAAAGCGAUCGAGCGAAUCCUGGUCAAGGAACUCGGCAAAUCACUCCCGUUCCUUCGGUUUAAGGGAGACCCCCGAUGGUGAACCGCCUCGCGCGGGGAGCUUUUGGGGGUGGCACAGACCAGGGGGUAGCGACUGUUUACCAAAAACACAGGUGCAUGCGAAGGCGCAAGCCGCUGUAUAUGCACUGACGCCUGCCCGGUGCCGGAAGGUUAAGAGGAUCCGUCAGCCUUCGGGUGAAGCGGUGAAUUCAAGCCCCGGUAAACGGCGGUGGUAACUAUAACCAUCCUAAGGUAGCGAAAUUCCUUGUCGGGUAAGUUCCGACCUGCACGAAUGGCGUAACGAUUUGGGCGCUGUCUCAACCAUGGACCCGGUGAAAUUGUAUUAUUCGUGAAGAUGCGAAUUACCUGCGGAAGGACGGAAAGACCCCGUGAACCUUUACUGCAGCUUGGCAUUG
RNAcentral lists this ribosomal RNA (1280 nucleotides) under human gut metagenome. Its description in RNAcentral is "bacterial LSU rRNA". It matches the Rfam family "Bacterial large subunit ribosomal RNA", at positions 953 to 2119 of the family's 2925-position model. The record is from RNAcentral.